UACGUAGGUGGCGAGCGUUAUCCGGAAUUACUGGGCGUAAAGCGCACGCAGGCGGCCGGUCAAGUCUGACGUGAAAGCUCCUGGCUUAACUGGGAGAGGUCGUUGGAAACUGGCGGGCUUGAGGCAAUGAGAGGGGUGUAGAAUUCCCGGUGUAGUGGUGGAAUGCGUAGAUAUCGGGAGGAAUACCAGUGGCGAAGGCGGCACCCUGGCAUUGACCUGACGCUGAGGUGCAAAAGCGUGGGGAGCGAACGGGAUUAGAUACCCCGGUAGUCCCU
RNAcentral lists this ribosomal RNA (275 nucleotides) under uncultured prokaryote. Its description in RNAcentral is "partial 16S ribosomal RNA". It matches the Rfam family "Bacterial small subunit ribosomal RNA", at positions 524 to 798 of the family's 1533-position model. The record is from RNAcentral.